UCGGCAAAGACAAUGAUGUAUCAAUCCAAGCACAUAUCUGAGAUGUAUGUGUGGAGAACACUAAACUGAGUCUUUCCCGG
This is a small nucleolar RNA of Oryctolagus cuniculus (rabbit), 80 nucleotides long. Ensembl annotates it as small nucleolar RNA, C/D box 121B. Its record names the gene SNORD121B. Lineage: Eukaryota; Metazoa; Chordata; Mammalia; Lagomorpha; Leporidae. The record is from Ensembl.